Molecule: long non-coding RNA, 481 nt
Organism: Alnus glutinosa
Lineage: Eukaryota; Viridiplantae; Streptophyta; Magnoliopsida; Fagales; Betulaceae
Exons: 4
Source: RefSeq, a predicted model, not a curated record
CAAACAAACAGAAGAAAAAGGGAAGGGCUUUUCAUAGAAAAUUCUUGAUCUACAAAGAUCUAACUGUCCAAACUUAAAUCUGACUCUGGCAACGUGAUCUACGAAGCCCGAUCUACAUUUUCACCGAUCGUUUUGAAGUAAUGGGUUACUUGGAACUUACUUGAAGCUACCCAAACCAUGGGUUUUGGUUUGGUGAAAUUCUUUUGUGGCGCAUUGCAAGGUGGUGUGUAGGAGACCUAAUACUUAAUAUCCGCGCAGCCAAGACAUUGAUGCUUUGGUUGCAGGUUCUGCGGAUAUAGAUAUUGACUCGUCCACCUAGCAUAUGGGAUGCUAUGAUUGGAGCACAUCACGAUAGUCAUAAGUCGCGGACUCAUAGGUAGUUCGCAUUUGGGUAUUUUAUUUAUGGCUCAUGUUCUACGUGUUAUAUGUAUUUGUUGAGCCUGUAUUUUAGUAUGUAAUUAAUGUAAUGUGUUUUAUAAUC